AAUGCUGACAUAAGUAACGAUAAAGCGGGUGAAAAGCCCGCUCGCCGGAAGACCAAGGGUUCCUGUCCAACGUUAAUCGGGGCAGGGUGAGUCGACCCCUAAGGCGAGGCCGAAAGGCGUAGUCGAUGGGAAACGGGUUAAUAUUCCCGUACUUGGUGUUACUGCGAAGGGGGGACGGAGAAGGCUAUGUUGGCCGGGCGACGGUUGUCCCGGUUUAAGCGUGUAGGUGUGUGUUCCAGGUAAAUC
Molecule: ribosomal RNA, 246 nt
Filed under: Salmonella enterica
Lineage: Bacteria; Pseudomonadati; Pseudomonadota; Gammaproteobacteria; Enterobacterales; Enterobacteriaceae
Description: partial 23S ribosomal RNA
Rfam family: Bacterial large subunit ribosomal RNA
Source: RNAcentral